Molecule: long non-coding RNA, 754 nt
Filed under: Malus domestica (apple)
Lineage: Eukaryota; Viridiplantae; Streptophyta; Magnoliopsida; Rosales; Rosaceae
Description: long non-coding RNA (MDOM_LNC015210)
Source: RNAcentral
UAUAUUUUCUUAUCUUUUCUUGCACAUGGUGCCAGAUGCACCAUUCAUUAUUUUGUUUUCUUUUCUUUUCUUGCAUAUGGUGGUGCUGAUCCACCAAGAUUCCACCAUUUCUUCUUCUUUCCAGACUGGUUUAUCCCCUUUCAUUUUUUUCUAUAUAUUCCCCACAUGGUGCAAGGAGGAAAUGCAGAGGAGGAUGAGGACGAACGGAGAGCUGCAGUCGAGGCUUCAUGACCGACUGGUCGUUUGAUGAUGGUUAUUGAAGUUCUUCACCAUUGCUGUUUGCCACGGACGGAGAGCUAUUGAAACUGCCAUUCCUGUUUGCUACAAGGGACAACGCUUGCUGCGGAAGGGAGUGUGGCUCGUUGUUGAUGGUUCUGCCGUGUUUCUUGCUGCUGAAGCUGAUGGGUAGAAGGCUAAGGCUUGCAGAUGAGGACGAGUGAGCUGGGGUAAGUCCCGACCACUUAGUGGAGCUGCCAGAGCCGAUGGCUUCGAUGGCAGUUGCAACAGCAACGCUGAUCUUCGCAUCUGCCAAAGGAGGGUGCUGGAGUUGUAGCUGAGGCUGGUAGAGCACAACAAAGACAACCCUUUCCGAAUGCACGGAGGAGAUGGCGUUUAUGGCUUUAACGUCGAACACGUAUGAGCCGCAGCGAACUUCUUCAAAUCCUUACAGUUCUGCGUGACGCAAUCAUGUUGAAGUCGGUGAUUUCCCGGCAGCCGGUGAGGAGGAGGAUGCAGAGCUGGUGGCGACCGAGAC